AGUUGGUGGAGUGAUCUGUCAGGUUAAUUCCGUUAACGAACGAGACUUUUUCUUACUAUUUAAGGGCAAAGACACCUUUAACCUUUUCUAGGAGGACAUCAUGUAUUUAGCAUGAGGAAGCAUAAAGCAAUAACAGGU
Molecule: ribosomal RNA, 138 nt
Filed under: uncultured eukaryote
Lineage: Eukaryota
Description: partial small subunit ribosomal RNA
Rfam family: Eukaryotic small subunit ribosomal RNA
Source: RNAcentral